Molecule: ribosomal RNA, 336 nt
Filed under: Triticum aestivum (bread wheat)
Lineage: Eukaryota; Viridiplantae; Streptophyta; Magnoliopsida; Poales; Poaceae
Description: partial small subunit ribosomal RNA
Source: RNAcentral
AUGCUACGGCUAGGGUGUAUCACACCCAGUGUCAACCCGUUUGCUUCUCCGGUACUCUUGGUAAAAAAGAAGGAUCAGACUUGGAGAUUCUGCGUCGACUUCCGACAUCUCAAUGCAAUAACCAUCAAGUCAAGAUAUCCAAUGCCCGUGAUCGACGAGCUCUUGGAUGAAUUGGCAGGUUCCACCUGCUUCUCAAAGUUGGAUCUCCGGGCAGGCUACCAUCAGAUCAGAUUGUUGCCGGAGGACGAGCACAAAACGGCUUUCAAGACCCACCAUGGCCACUUUCAGUUUUGGGUACUGCCGUACGGCGUGACAGGUGGGCCUCCUACUUUCUAG